GGGGAGAUGGCUCAGUGGUUAAGAGCACUGCCUGCUCUUCCAUAGGACCUGGGUUCAAUUCCCAGUACCUA
Molecule: transfer RNA, 71 nt
Filed under: Cricetulus griseus (Chinese hamster)
Lineage: Eukaryota; Metazoa; Chordata; Mammalia; Rodentia; Cricetidae
Rfam family: tRNA
About the family: Transfer RNA (tRNA) molecules are approximately 80 nucleotides in length. Their secondary structure includes four short double-helical elements and three loops (D, anti-codon, and T loops).
Source: Rfam by way of RNAcentral